GAGCUCACUUUGGCAGCACAUAUACUAAAAUUGGAAGGAUACAGAGAAGAUUAGCAUGGCCCCUGUAUAAGGAUGACAUGCAAAUUUGUGAAGCAUUCCAUAAAAAA
Molecule: small nuclear RNA, 107 nt
Filed under: Prolemur simus (greater bamboo lemur)
Lineage: Eukaryota; Metazoa; Chordata; Mammalia; Primates; Lemuridae
Source: RNAcentral